UACGGAGGGUGCAAGCAUUAAUCGGAUUUAUUGGGCGUAAAGGGCGCGUAGGCGGAUAGGAUAGUCAGAUGUGAAAUUUCGGAGCUCAACUUCGAAGCUGCAUUUGAAACUUCAGAACUAGAGUACAGUUAGGGUAAACGGAAUUCCACGUGUAGCGGUGAAAUGCGUAGAUAUGUGGAAGAACACCAGUGGUGAAGACGGUUUACUGGGCUGUAACUGACGCUGAGGCGCGAAAGCUAGGGGAGCAAACAGG
RNAcentral lists this ribosomal RNA (253 nucleotides) under uncultured bacterium. RNAcentral's name for it is "partial 16S ribosomal RNA". It matches the Rfam family "Bacterial small subunit ribosomal RNA", at positions 524 to 776 of the family's 1533-position model. The record is from RNAcentral.